GGAGACGUGCCUGAGUGGCCGAAAGGAGCGGUUUGCUAAACCGUCGUACGAGCAAUCGUACCCAGGGUUCGAAUCCCUGCGUCUCCG
Molecule: transfer RNA, 87 nt
Filed under: Leptospira biflexa
Lineage: Bacteria; Pseudomonadati; Spirochaetota; Leptospiria; Leptospirales; Leptospiraceae
Also listed under: 38 other names
Description: tRNA-Ser
Rfam family: tRNA
About the family: Transfer RNA (tRNA) molecules are approximately 80 nucleotides in length.
Source: RNAcentral